UGCCACAAUCCUCAUAUGAUAUUUGCUGUUUUGCAUACCCUUGACUUCUCUCCUUGGCAGCUGAGACUCAGCCUGAUGAGGACUGACAAAGCUGGGGCUUAGCAAAACAGAGCUUUGGACACCGGCUGAAGAGAUUCUCCUGAGGGAAGCUCUUUGGAGCAAAAACUCCACAAAACUUGGAGUGAAAUCUGGGCUCUGAGUCAAUGCUGAAGCUCCCACUGACUUGGAAUGGAGGCAUACUCAGUCUUGUCUUAUGUUUUGUGAAUUGUCCUCAACAUGGAUGCAAUCCCUACUCUGGAUUAUUUAUGAGCUCUGAUGCAGAGAAUCCUGGCAACUGAAAUCCAAUCUGAAGUGUUUUGAGAUGAGGAUAAAGAUGAUUAUUUGACGUAAUCAGCUCUUCAGAAAAGCCAACUUUCUGCCAUGGGAAGAGAAAAUUAAGUAAGUUUAUGCACAAUAAAAGGUUUCUUGAAAGGAGUAACUGUUCUGAAAGAAGCAAAGAAAAAGAAGCUCAGAAGAAAUAUGUAGUGUCCAAACUAGUAGCACUUCAUUGAUUCCUUACAAUCAUUACCUAAAUUAACAGAAGAGUGAACAACUAAGAGGUAAUUCAUGCUACCAUAGAUGAUCCUCACUAAAAGCACUGAUUCAGACACCAAGCAGGAUAAAAGGGUGCAGAUGCAAUGCAUUCUCCAGGUUAGAAAAACAUACCUUUAUCUCCUUAAGUUCUCUCAGAGAUCUGCACAACCCAUCAACAGAACUCAUGAUUUCUUCAUACUUUAGUACAGUUUUUUCUACAUACUUCUUUCCUUCUUCAAUCCCUACAAAGGCAAAAACAGCAUGAAAGUAGAACAGAAUGCCUCAAACAGACCUGCAAAAAUCCUUGUAAUUUGCUUCCUCAAGGGACUUCAAUAAACACAUUUUUCAAUAAACACAUUUUUCAAUAAACACAUUUUUCAAUAAACACAUUUUUCAAUAAA
Long non-coding RNA from Haemorhous mexicanus (house finch), 974 nucleotides. RefSeq lists it as uncharacterized. NCBI's taxonomy places the organism in Eukaryota, Metazoa, Chordata, Aves, Passeriformes, Fringillidae. The transcript is spliced from 4 exons. The record is from RefSeq and is a predicted model, not a curated record.